Long non-coding RNA from Felis catus (domestic cat), 1151 nucleotides. RefSeq lists it as uncharacterized. The record is from RefSeq and is a predicted model, not a curated record. The transcript has 2 exons. NCBI's taxonomy places the organism in Eukaryota, Metazoa, Chordata, Mammalia, Carnivora, Felidae.
CGUCCUUGGAUAUUCUUUGUAGAAGAUCAACUAAAUCACACAGGAGAAAUAGAGCCAAAAAAAUCGGGAAAGACUUGACAUAUGUAUGAUUUUCGACUUAUGCAAAUCAGAUACAAAAUGUGAAAAUGAUCAAGGACGAUGCCAAACCUUGCCUCUUUCCCCCGGAUAUGCACACUGGCUGCCUAUAUAUCUGAGAAAGGAGGCAGAGUGGGAGAUGUACCCAACCAUGCACACCUGGCAUAAGCGGGGACACACAACUAAGGUAUAAACUUUCAGUAUGCAACAAUCUGGCCACAAGAAUGAAAUCGAAUAAGCAUUUUCAAGAUCUGCUAAAGAAGCAGCUCCAACAACAACAUUUCCAAAUCCUGAGCUGCGGGUAGAAGAAUGACUUUCAUCAGAAAUGACAGGAGCCAGCUGCUCCAGGAAAGAUGUGAGCAGGGUGAUGAGUGGACGUUAAAGAGGGCACCACACACUGAAGGGCUUCCCAAGGCUGUAAACACAAACAGAGAAGGGGACCCAUCUUCAUUCAAAGGCAACUAAAAGUUAGUUGUGACACAUGCUAAACUUCUGAACACAGCCAAAUUCUUUUCCUCACUUCAUCUCCUCUAGGCUCUUAUCACCGCAAGCCGGAGAAACUCUUUGAAGUCUUUUAUUUUCGUUGCAAACCUACUUUCACAGUCAAACAUUUUUCAUCAAGCUAUUGGAGGGGAGAAAAAAAAAAAAAGCUUGCUUUUUUUUUUUUUACUCAUUAAGAAAGAACAAAUAGUUGUGAACUUAAAAAUUCUCCUCAUUUUUUUUAAAAUCUGGCUUUUUCAUAAAUAUUUGUUGCAAUUGCACAAUGUUUAUGUUCAAGAGAGUCACUUAGGAAAGAACAGCACAUUCUUUGGUGUUCCAGAACAUGACACCAGGUAAAAGAAGAUCUUUGAAGAAAAAAAAAAAAGUGAAAAAAAAUGUUUUAAAGAAAAAUGUCCAAGUAUUUUCUUUGUUUGCUACAUCUUAAAAGGAUCAAAUAAUCAAUAACAGAAUAACAAAUAGAGGAGUCUUUUGGUUUUUGUGUUUUUUUAAUGUGAGGCCCCAGUGCCAAAAUGUUAACAUUCUGAUCUUAGCUUUAAAGAAGGACGUCUUUAAAAUAAAAUAUAACGUCUACCGGU